Long non-coding RNA from Solanum stenotomum, 555 nucleotides. RefSeq lists it as uncharacterized. The record is from RefSeq and is a predicted model, not a curated record. The transcript is spliced from 4 exons. Lineage: Eukaryota; Viridiplantae; Streptophyta; Magnoliopsida; Solanales; Solanaceae.
UACCCCAAAACCCUAGAGGUGUGAGGGCCACUGAAAAGCCCUAUUUUCCCAAAUCCAAUUUACCAAAUCCAUUGUUCCUCUUUCCUAAAACCCUUCCUGCUAGUCGUGCGUGUCAUUCAAACCCCCUUAUCUCAAAUCGACGUUGUUUAAGAAGACUUCAAAUUGUCGAGAAGUGGCAUAUGUUGUUUCCUUGGUUUCCUCUCAGAUUCGUAACUUGGCACUAGAAAUUAAGAAGACUACAUCAAGCAACAAGAUAUGACGUUACACUGUAUGCGCAAGUGAAGUUGUGACGUUCGUCAUAAAAAAGCCAAAAAUCAAGACAAUCAUUUUGGAAUGUGGUUGAAAAGUAGCGACUGAUUUUUCAAAUUUCAGAAUUUCUCAAGCUUGUUCCAUUUCUUCUGCAAUUAGGAUUUGGGACAAGGUUCUUUGAUGAUGGAGAAGUGUUGAUAAGGAGCUUGAAGAUAUUAUGAUUUUUUGUAGUUGAGAAAUAUUUUUGACGUUGCUUCCAUAAUAAAAAAAAAAUGGACAAGUAUAAUAUUAUAUUAUUGCAGCAAU